Long non-coding RNA from Phycodurus eques (leafy seadragon), 149 nucleotides. RefSeq lists it as uncharacterized. The record is from RefSeq and is a predicted model, not a curated record. Lineage: Eukaryota; Metazoa; Chordata; Actinopteri; Syngnathiformes; Syngnathidae. The transcript is spliced from 3 exons.
GAAUAAAGUUCCCCCCAGUCUCUCGCCUGAACAUGUCAAACUGUGGUUGCUGGAGAGAAAAAACUUCCAGCAAGAAUUCCAAGAAACGCAAAAGAGAAUGGAAGCCAGGAUGUUCAAGCACCUUAAUGUGGCCUGGACAAAGGCGAGGA